Molecule: long non-coding RNA, 2424 nt
Organism: Danio rerio (zebrafish)
Lineage: Eukaryota; Metazoa; Chordata; Actinopteri; Cypriniformes; Danionidae
Source: Ensembl
GCAGGAUGAGGCCCACAAGCGUUUAAUACGCGGAAUGAUAAGAGGGGGGACAACGAGCAGCUCAUUUCACUCUCCGUAGGGGAGGAGAGGAGCAUCUCAAUGGGAAAUAUGGGUGAAAAGACUGCGUGCAGCCCGAUACGGAGAAGCUGAAUGGAUGGGGCCACUGCAACGUCACGCGGAGCCGCAGCCAUGAAGCGGAGGACCAAAGCGCAAGACAACAUUCUGGAGUGCACGCAGCUCGCACGCGCAUAUUUAUCAUUACGAUCGGUCCUGAAUACCAUCGAUGCUCGAGGAUAGGAGUUGCAGUUCAGCCCUGGUUGGAUGGAAAUGGACGGGUGGCCGGAGGGGUUGGCUGUUAUCUUUGGUUAUCUAGCUGUAUGAGUGUUAUUCAUUCUUCAUAAAGCUAGAUAACCGAAAGUAACAAGAAUCCCAUUACACACCUGAAAGGCAUCACCCCACCUUGAGAUCUGUACUCCUCCCCUCUCCUCUUCUCCUCUUUUCCCUCCCAAGUCUCCCUCUCUCUCAGUUUCAAUCUCUGCAUCAUUUUAUUGUGAGAGCAAGCCACAAAAUGGCCUCCAUCAGUGCUGAUAUGGAAGAGACCAACCACCUUUGAUGCCAAGGAAAGGAAUGGGCGAAGAAGCAUGGCAGGUUAUAAUGUGGUUGUUGUCCUACUGGCAUUGCUGCUCCCCUCCCCUUCAUCGCUCGCCUGCCCCCUUCCUCUCGUCACGAGAUGCAGUUUGCACAAAGCCACCAUCUUAGAGCAUGCGGGCAUUACAUGGAAGUGGAAAAUAAGCAGAGUCAAACGGGGUAACGUAAAAUCCAUUCAAUGGAGGAUCAUUCAUACAGACGAUGGCGGAUGGAAUUAAACGGGUCUUUACUAUGCAUGCACCCCAACAUCAGAUAAAAAAGCACUUUAUGUUCUAUUUGGCUUCAAUCUUGGCAGUUGUAAAGCAGAUAUAACAGCCGUUGUUGGCUGUUUGCUGUGAGCCAAGAGUGUGUGUGUGUGUGUGUGUGUGUGGUAAAAAAAGUGUAUUAGAAUGCGUUUUAAAGUAUUACUGUUAGUCUUUCUUUGUACAGGUCUGGGUUAAAGUAUUUAUCAAACUGUGUUUUAGUAUAUACAUAUUUAUUUGUAUAUACUGUAUAUAUAUCUGAGUAAUUUUACAGUGAAUAAAGACCAUUUAAAAAACAUAAAUGAUUAGGUUUAGCCUUUUAAAUGAAUUUAAUACACAGUUACCCUAUCGUAUCUAGUCUAUCUUGGAACAAUCCUUAGCAUAAUGCACUUUUAUACCACAAACUGAUUACUAACUGAAAUCUAACAUAAAUGAUUAGAAAUAAGGCUCUGUAGAUUCUGCGAUGUAUGAGUGUGAGACCCACGGCAGCCGUGAACGAUACUGCACUCUGAUUGGACAGCUCAGUGUGUUGUGCGUCACACACUUGUUGGACAGAGAGCUGUUGUCUUUAAUUUCUAUGCAAUUGCGUUGGGCUUGCAAUCUUUUUGAAAAGAAUCAGAGCAGAUCAGAGCAGCUAUUUAUGACAGGAGAUGAAGAUUUAACCGGAUACGUUUGAAUAUUUCAUUCCAACUAAAACUGACUUCAACAAACAAACAAACUGUGAAGAUUUUAGUUUUUUAUUUUUGUUUCAACAAUCAAAAUGGAAACAAUCAUAAAGGGUAUUAAAUGCUCUCUAAAUGUCUCUCUGUAUUUGUGCUACAAUCAGUCUUAGCAGAAAUUGAAGAAUUAUCGAAUUUGCAAGUGUUUUAAAUAUAUAGUACAAUUAGAAGAGAAUUUUGCAAUCUGUUUUAUAAUAUUUUUCUUAAAAUAAUUUACAGUCAAACUGCAAUAUUUUAAGAGAAUUGUGCAAAAUAUUUUUAGAAUUGUUUCAUAAACAUUUUAAUGACCUCAGUAUAACUGAGAUUUUUGAAGAGAAUUUUAGAGUUAAUGUGUGCAAACAAAUUUAAAGGUAUUGUGUGCAAACAAUAAUAUAGUUAUUUUCUUAAUUUCAAUCCCUUUAGUAAAACCGAGAUAUCUGACGAGAAAUGUGCAAUCUAUUUUAUUAUAUUUUCCCUUAAAGUAAUUUUAAAUUACAUCAGUGAAAUUUAGAUAAUCAUUUUCACUUCCCUGCAAAGUUUGACAAAUCAAGUAAAUGUGAAGACAAUGGACUGAUAAAUGGGGCCUUUUACUAUGCAAUUUAACUUUACUGAUUUCCUAGAGAGUUGUUUUUAGCUAGUCAUAGUCCUGUAAUGAUAUAGAUCUUUUUUUUAACAUGUACUGCUGUAGUCUUAUUCUUUUCCUUAUUGUACGUUCUUUCAUGCUGCAGUUGAACACAAAUAUGAGAUAUUUUGUUCACUGUGACUUAUAUUUGGUAUUACCACAUGUGCCUUUUAACAAUGUCCUGUUAUGGAUAUUAAUAAAAGUUUACUUUGAA